UACAGAGGUCCCGAGCGUUGUUCGGAUUCAUUGGGCGUAAAGGGUGCGUAGGUGGCGCGCUAAGUCAGGUGUGAAAUUUCGGAGCUUAACUCCGAAACUGCAUUUGAUACUGGCGUGCUUGAGGACUGGAGAGGAGACUGGAAUUCACGGUGUAGCAGUGAAAUGCGUAGAGAUCGUGAGGAAGACCAGUGGCGAAGGCGGGUCUCUGGACAGUUCCUGACACUGAGGCACGAAGGCCAGGGGAGCAAACGGG
RNAcentral lists this ribosomal RNA (253 nucleotides) under uncultured bacterium. RNAcentral's name for it is "partial 16S ribosomal RNA". It matches the Rfam family "Bacterial small subunit ribosomal RNA", at positions 524 to 776 of the family's 1533-position model. The record is from RNAcentral.